This 62-nucleotide transfer RNA is filed under the name Dipodomys ordii (Ord's kangaroo rat). It matches the Rfam family "tRNA". From Rfam's summary of the family: Transfer RNA (tRNA) molecules are approximately 80 nucleotides in length. Their secondary structure includes four short double-helical elements and three loops (D, anti-codon, and T loops). The record is from Rfam by way of RNAcentral. Lineage: Eukaryota; Metazoa; Chordata; Mammalia; Rodentia; Heteromyidae.
GGAAAUGUGGCUUAGUGGUAGAGUGCUUGCCUAGCAUGCAAGAAGCCCUGAUCUCAAUUCCU